This 1717-nucleotide long non-coding RNA is filed under the name Homo sapiens (human). Its description in RNAcentral is "HSALNT0287238". Lineage: Eukaryota; Metazoa; Chordata; Mammalia; Primates; Hominidae. The record is from RNAcentral.
UGAGCUCAGUGAUCCCUUUCUGGUGGACCUGGAGGAAAUUAUCAGCCUCCCCAUGUGCACAGCACUUUAAUGUUUGUAAGUCACUAUUCCAUCCAUCAUUUCAUUUCCUUUAAGUUAGCCUCUUUGGCCUGUUUAUCUCUCAAAUGGAAAUAAUACUUACAAAUUAUCUGUCAUAUGGGAGGAAUAUUAUAGAAUUGGUAUGAAAAUGAAGUAAGAUUAUGAAAAUGAACAUGAUUUUCUUUAAAAAUACAAUAUUUUCUAAUGGAUGUGGAAUAUCUCCACAAAUAUAUCCCAUAGGCACCUCAAACUCAAUGUAUCCAAAACAUCAUCUUCCCACUAAACCUCCUCCUUCUUUUUCCUCUGUCUCAGAGAUUGGCCCCACCACGUACCUAGUCACCUGAACCAAAAAGAUGAGCAUAAUCUUAGAAUCUUCUCCCUAUUCUUCAGGAUGGAAAAAAUUGAUAAACUCCAUCCAUAAUUGAAAAACUCCAGCAGAUAGCUCUCCAUAAUGGGAUCUGUACAAAGGCAUAUCAUCUAAGGCUGAAGUCUUUGUUGUAUUUGAAUCCUAAGUAAAAUGGACUUUGAACAUUCACCUAUCCUAAAAGUUCUCUAGACCAGGCAGAAUUUGUAGUGUCUCCAUGAGCAAAGUCUGGCUAGCAAGGGUUUUUUUUGUUUGUUGGUUGGUUUGCUUGUUUUUGUAAAUAUCAGGCCAACCCCUAGAACACUAGGACUACAGAGACUUUCCAAGAUCAGCCAGUGCAACCCCUUCUCCAUUUUACAUAUGGCAAAUGAGGGCCAAAGAGGUGGAAUGACUUGUUCAGGAUCAUUGCACAAGUCAGUGGCUGCCAAUCCAGUGGCUUUCUUCCCAUUGCACUAACAUAGAAACAAUAGCAUUAAGUUACCACUUUAGUCAUUUAAAAUGGAAGUCUGGCUGAACAAGAGAAGGCAAAGGUGUAUUUAGCAGAAACAGGAUGAUAAAACAUAUUGAAGGGGAGGAAUGGAUCAUCUAGGAAUGUUAUUAUUCCUUUGUCCUUAAAAAGGGAAUCACUGGCCAUCUCUUCUAGAGAGUCAGCCACCUGAAGGCAGGCCCUCACUGGAUGAUCACCGAUAUCCCUUCUAUCUAUGUGAUUUUAGUGAAGACUUGGAAUACCUGAGUCAUCAGUGCCAAGUCUCCCCUCUCACAAGAAGUAAACCGACUAAUGUUUCCAAAUGUGUAAUACAAUUUGGGGUCUGUUUUUCAGGUUCUGUUUCUGUGGUUGUUCUGGAAUCUGAUAUCUGUAUGUGGGUUGGAGGUGGGUCUGAGGGGUGAACAGUUGUUGACAGGGCAGGGAACCAUCCUCUUCAUCUGUGCGAUGCUGAUGUCAUUUACUUAAAUAAGGGCUAAGAAGUGUCCAUUGUAUGUUGUGACAAGGUCAUUUGGAGUGGAGCAGAGUGCAGUGAUGGGAGUUGAUGGCAAUGGUCCGAAGGCUGAGUCUCAGCUAUGGGGAAGUAGAAGACCAGCAUAGCCACAUGACAGACUCAUUCGGCUCCUGAGGAAUAAGACAACCCAGGCAGUUGCUGCUGAAGAAGGCCACACUGUACCCAGAUGUUGAGAAUCCCUGUGGCUAAGACAGAGGAGAAUACAGCAUUAUAAUACAUUUUGGACUUUAAUUUCUCUGGACAUAGAAAUUCUAAGCUUUUGACUUUCACUUACAAGGAGAAGAUAUUUCAGUUUUGA